UCCCCACUUGUCCCUUUAAUUGACAUAGACCCCAGUCAUCUAAUAAUAAUAAAACGAGGAUGGGAUGCUACAUUGGGAAUGGUCGG
This 86-nucleotide transfer RNA is filed under the name Amphitecna steyermarkii. Its description in RNAcentral is "partial tRNA-Phe". The record is from RNAcentral. RNAcentral also lists the same sequence under 1 other name. Lineage: Eukaryota; Viridiplantae; Streptophyta; Magnoliopsida; Lamiales; Bignoniaceae.